GGAAGGAGCUCUAACCCACUUUACUCCCAA
RNAcentral lists this non-coding RNA (30 nucleotides) under Homo sapiens (human). The record is from RNAcentral. Lineage: Eukaryota; Metazoa; Chordata; Mammalia; Primates; Hominidae.